RNAcentral lists this ribosomal RNA (230 nucleotides) under uncultured bacterium. Its description in RNAcentral is "partial 16S ribosomal RNA". It matches the Rfam family "Bacterial small subunit ribosomal RNA", at positions 111 to 334 of the family's 1533-position model. The record is from RNAcentral.
UAAUACAUAAGUAACCUGCCCUAGACAGGGGGAUAACUAUUGGAAACGAUAGCUAAGACCGCAUAGGUACGGACACUGCAUGGUGACCGUAUUAAGAGUGCCUCAAAGCACUGGUAGAGGAUGGACUUAUGGCGCAUUAGCUGGUUGGCGGGGUAACGGCCCACCAAGGCGACGAUGCGUAGCCGACCUGAGAGGGUGACCGGCCACACUGGGACUGAGACACGGCCCAG